This is a long non-coding RNA of Lotus japonicus, 823 nucleotides long. RefSeq lists it as uncharacterized. Lineage: Eukaryota; Viridiplantae; Streptophyta; Magnoliopsida; Fabales; Fabaceae. The transcript is spliced from 4 exons. The record is from RefSeq and is a predicted model, not a curated record.
UGAAGUUUGUAGGCUCAUGUUAUUGAGAGAGAGAGAGAGAGCCGCAUAAGAAAAAGAAAGAAGCAUCGCUGCACAACUGGGUGGCUGAAAUCCGGUUCCUCCAACAUAGAAGCGCCGUUUGGGGUGGAAUCCGAUGGGUGAGGCCGCUUGAUGAUGGAUUUACGGCAGGGGGAAGCACCGAUAUACCCCCUCGUCGGCUAUAGAAGGCAGUACGGUUAGGGACCCAACAUGCUUUGAUAGUUGUACGCUGCAAUCAAUGUGCCUCUGAUUCUAACUCAGGUACCGUUACUCCUAUACAUUUGUGUGGAAUUUUCUUUCAUAAAUGUCAACUAGCUUCAGAAGUGAUAGUGAUGCUCCCUCAAGUGUGUAGGAACUUGGAUUUAGAGGUAGAGGGAAGGGCUUUGAAGGAAGUAAUGAAACCAACUGAUGACGGGUCUAAUUAAUCUGAAACUCCCAACAAACAAGUUCUAGCAACUCCCAACAAAGCACCAGCGACAAAGAGUAACUAAGGAAGCAAAUGAGAAACUUAUGGAGGCAUUGGUGGCUCAAAAACGGGUUGAGGAGGAUUCUUAAAUUGAGAAAGCUCCGCAGUUUUGAAUCCGGACAUGCUGGAAUUGAAGCUAUUCAAAAGAUGGAAGGUAGGAAGAGCUUUGAAGGUGUUAGGAACCAGCAUGCUUAGUAUGUGGCUUGAAAAUAAGUAACUAUUUUAGGGAAAAAUUUUGGUAUUUUUUGUAUAGGUGUGAUCUUUAUGAAUUGCAUGAAACUUGUUGUUAAUUGAAAUUCAUUUAUCUCUUUGAUCAAUGAAGAUUUGUUUCUUGAUUAA